Molecule: ribosomal RNA, 459 nt
Filed under: uncultured bacterium
Lineage: Bacteria
Description: partial 16S ribosomal RNA
Rfam family: Bacterial small subunit ribosomal RNA
Source: RNAcentral
CCUACGGGUGGCAGCAGUGAGGAAUAUUGGUCAAUGGGCGCGAGCCUGAACCAGCAAAGUCGCGUGAGGGAAGACGGUCCUAUGGAUUGUAAACCUCUUUUGUCGGGGAGCAAAAGACGCCACGCGUUGCUUUCCGAGAGUACCCGAAAAAAAAGCAUCGGCUAACUCCGUGCCAGCAGCAGCGGUAAUACGGAGGAUGCGAGCGUUAUCCGGAUUUAUUGGGUUUAAAGGGUGCGCAGGCGGAAGAUCAAGUCAGCGGUAAAAUUGAGAGGUUAAACCUCUUCGCGCAGUUGAAACUGGUUUUCUUGAGUGAGGGAGUGGGAUGCGGAAUGCGUGGGGUAGCGGUGAAAUGCAUAGAUAUCACGCAGAACUCCGAUGGCGAAGGCAGCAUACCGGCGCUCAACUGACGCUCAUGCACGAAAGUGUGGGUAUCGAACAGGAUUAGAUACCCGGGUAGUC